Long non-coding RNA from Oncorhynchus mykiss (rainbow trout), 2889 nucleotides. The record is from Ensembl. NCBI's taxonomy places the organism in Eukaryota, Metazoa, Chordata, Actinopteri, Salmoniformes, Salmonidae.
AUGCUGCACCUCCCCCUACUGUAUUACCUCACGCUGCUCCCCCACCUACUGUAUUACCGCACGCUGCUCCUCCCCCUACUGUAUUACCUCAUGCUGCACCCCCUACUGUAUUACCGCACGCUGCUCCUUCCCCUACUGUAUUACCUCCCGCUGCACCUCCCCCUACUGUAUUACCUCACGCUGCUCUUCCCCCUACUGUAUUACCUCAUGCUGCUCCUCCCCCUACUGUAUUACCUCACGCUGCACCUCCCCCUACUGUAUUACCUCCCACUCUCCCUACUGUAUUACCUCCCGCUGCACCUCCCCCUACUGUAUUACCUCACACUGCUCCUCCCCCUACUGUAUUACCUCCCGCUGCACCUCCCCCUACUGUAUUACCUCACACUGCACCUCCCCCUACUGUAUUACCUCACGCUGCUCCUCCCCCUACUGUAUUACCUCCCGCUGCACCUCCCCCUACUGUAUUACCUCCCGCUGCACCUCCCCCUACUGUAUUACCUCACGCUGCACCUCCCCCUACUGUAUUACCUCACACUGCUCCUCCCCCUACUGUAUUACCUCCCGCUGCACCUCCCCCUACUGUAUUACCUCACACUGCACCUCCCCCUACUGUAUUACCUCACGCUGCUCCUCCCUCUACUGUAUUACCUCACGCUGCUCCUCCCCCUACUGUAUUACCUCACGCUGCACCUCCCCCUACUGUAUUACCGCACGCUGCUCCUUCCCCUACUGUAUUACCUCACACUGCUCCUCCCCCUACUGUAUUACCUCCCGCUGCACCUCCCCCUACUGUAUUACCUCACGCUGCUCCUCCCCCUACUGUAUUACCUCACGCUGCACCUCCCCCUACUGUAUUACCUCACGCUGCUCCUCCCCCUACUGUAUUACCUCAUGCUGCUCCCCCACCUACUGUAUUACCUCACGCUGCUCCUCCCCGUACUGUAUUACCUCACGCUGCUCCUCCCCCUACUGUAUUACCUCAUGCUGCUCCUCCCCCUACUGUAUUACCUCACGCUGCACCUCCCCCUACUGUAUUACCUCCCACUCUCCCUACUGUAUUACCUCCCGCUGCACCUCCCCCUACUGUAUUACCUCACGCUGCUCCUCCCCCUACUGUAUUACCUCACGCUGCACCUCCCCCUACUGUAUUACCUCACGCUGCUCCUCCCCCUACUGUAUUACCUCAUGCUGCUCCCCCACCUACUGUAUUACCUCACGCUGCUCCUCCCCGUACUGUAUUACCUCACGCUGCUCCUCCCCCUACUGUAUUACCUCACACUGCUCCUCCCCCUACUGUAUUACCUCCCGCUGCACCUCCCCCUACUGUAUUACCUCACACUGCACCUCCCCCUACUGUAUUACCUCACGCUGCUCCUCCCCCUACUGUAUUACCUCCCGCUGCACCUCCCCCUACUGUAUUACCUCCCGCUGCACCUCCCCCUACUGUAUUACCUCACGCUGCACCUCCCCCUACUGUAUUACCUCACACUGCUCCUCCCCCUACUGUAUUACCUCCCGCUGCACCUCCCCCUACUGUAUUACCUCACACUGCACCUCCCCCUACUGUAUUACCUCACGCUGCUCCUCCCUCUACUGUAUUACCUCACGCUGCUCCUCCCCCUACUGUAUUACCUCACGCUGCACCUCCCCCUACUGUAUUACCGCACGCUGCUCCUUCCCCUACUGUAUUACCUCACACUGCUCCUCCCCCUACUGUAUUACCUCCCGCUGCACCUCCCCCUACUGUAUUACCUCACGCUGCUCCUCCCCCUACUGUAUUACCUCACGCUGCACCUCCCCCUACUGUAUUACCUCACGCUGCUCCUCCCCCUACUGUAUUACCUCAUGCUGCUCCCCCACCUACUGUAUUACCUCACGCUGCUCCUCCCCGUACUGUAUUACCUCACGCUGCUCCUCCCCCUACUGUAUUACCUCAUGCUGCUCCUCCCCCUACUGUAUUACCUCACGCUGCACCUCCCCCUACUGUAUUACCUCCCACUCUCCCUACUGUAUUACCUCCCGCUGCACCUCCCCCUACUGUAUUACCUCCCACUCUCCCUACUGUAUUACCUCCCGCUGCACCUCCCCCUACUGUAUUACCUCCCACUCUCCCUACUGUAUUACCUCCCGCUGCACCUCCCCCUACUGUAUUACCUCACGCUGCUCCUCCCCCUACUGUAUUACCUCACGCUGCUCCUCCCCCUACUGUAUUACCUCACGCUGCACCUCCCCCUACUGUAUUACCUCACGCUGCACCUCCCCCUACUGUAUUACCUCCCGCUGCACCUCCCCCUACUGUAUUACCUCACGCUGCUCCUCCCCCUACUGUAUUACCUCACGCUGCACCUCCCCCUACUGUAUUACCUCACGCUGCACCUCCCCCUACUGUAUUACCUCCCGCUGCACCUCCCCCUACUGUAUUACCUCACGCUGCUCCUCCCCCUACUGUAUUACCUCACGCUGCUCCUCCCCCUACUGUAUUACCUCCCGCUGCACCUCCCCCUACUGUAUUACCUCCCGCUGCACCUCCCCCUACUGUAUUACCUCACGCUGCUCCUCUCCUACUGUAUUACCUCACGCUGCACCUCCCCCUACUGUAUUACCUCCCACUCUCCCUACUGUAUUACCUCCCGCUGCUCCUCCCCCUACUGUAUUACCUCACGCUGCACCUCCCCCUACUGUAUUACCUCACACUGCUCCUCCCCCUACUGUAUUUCCUCACGCUGCACCUCCCCCUACUGUAUUACCUCCCACUCUCCCUACUGUAUUACCUCCCGCUGCACCUCCCCCUACUGUAUUACCUCCCGUUGCACCUCCCCAUUCACUGAACCUUCUUCCACAAUAGAGACGAAACAAGAUAUACACCAAACAAAUGUUAAUGUUAAUUAA